Molecule: unclassified non-coding RNA, 235 nt
Filed under: Hevea brasiliensis (rubber tree)
Lineage: Eukaryota; Viridiplantae; Streptophyta; Magnoliopsida; Malpighiales; Euphorbiaceae
Source: RNAcentral
CAUAUGAACAGGCAAUAUCAAUUAUUGGCCGGACUUUAUCUGCAUUCGAUGAAGAUAACUUAAUUCCAUGUUUUGGAUUUGGAGAUGCAUCCACUCAUGAUCAAGAUGUCUUCAGUUUCCAUCAAGACGAAAGAUUCUGUAAUGGAUUUGAGGAAGUGUUGACACGAUACAGAGAAAUUGUUCCCCAACUUAGACUUGCAGGACCGACAUCUUUUGCACCCAUCAUUGACAUGGC